Molecule: long non-coding RNA, 1686 nt
Organism: Syzygium oleosum
Lineage: Eukaryota; Viridiplantae; Streptophyta; Magnoliopsida; Myrtales; Myrtaceae
Exons: 2
Source: RefSeq, a predicted model, not a curated record
GUUUGGAGGACUGAUGGUCUAUUGUCUUUUUUUUCUUUUUUUUUUGGGUUGAGAUGAUAAACAAGUAGUCUUUGAUCACAUCUUAGACCGGGCGAUAAACUUAAAUUUACUGGUUUUUGAUUGAAUUUUGUUCUUCAGUCUUUUAUCUUUGGGAGUUGAUUAUUACCUAGUCCUAAUCCUCUCACAGGUUGGAAUCUUGCCAAACUUGACAAGUGGUGAUCUGCCACAAGCUGAUGAUUUUCUGAAAUUGGAUAAGCUAUUGUUUCUCGAGGCAGUUAUCGGUUUGAAUGAAAUUUGUUCAACGGUCCCAUACUUUUCCGAUUAAUGCGAAAAUCGAUUCUCAUUCCUUUGGAGGUCAGUGUUUAGUUGAUGUAUGAUCUGAGAUGGUUCUUUCUUUGCAAGGUGCACGCGCCCCAACAGAUCACUAUCCAAUCCAGAUCUGCUUCAUCUUAGCCGGGGUCUCCGUCCUAGAAAUGGUCCGUCCCUCGUGACCUCAUCCUUCAGUCUCAGCGUGAGUUUAUGAUUGUGCACGUGUUUCUCCUUUCAGUUGACAGCCUCUGGGAAGUACUCUUCAGAGGAGACGUCGUUCCCAAAACACCCUCUUGAUCCUUCUUCUUUUCUUUUUGUUUCUGAAUUGAUUAUUUAAUCCGUAUGAUUCUGUUUAUGCUAUGUUAUUUUCCGAAGAUUACGCCUCACCUUUCUGGGACUCUGCCAUGUUGUGUGCAUUGUUAGGGUUUGUGCUCCUCUGAUCAUUGAUUGAUUCAUCAUUGAUUGAUCUUUCUGUUUAGUUGUAUUAUGAGCAGAUUCUGGUAUUCAUUAGUGGCUUCUUUCUUCUUGGAGCGAUCAUUUUGUCUGAGGAUGUUGUUUGAGGAAAAUGAAUACAAUGCAACUGGUCAGUUGGUUACAUAGAAUAGGACGUUUGGGCUUUUUGGAGGACUAAUGAUCUAUCUAUCUUGCACUCUUUGGUUGAGCUGAUGAUCUAGAAGUCUUUGUCUUCAGGACAAGCAAUGGACCGAAAUUUUGACAACCUUCUAGGCUUCUUUUACAGUUGCAUCUUUCUUCUUGGAGCAAUCUCUUCAUCUGAGCGUGUCGUCUAAGGAUGCUAAAUACAUAGAAGCUUGUCAGUUAACAUAGAAUAAGGUGGCUUGGGUUUCUUGGUGGAGUGGUGAUCUAUUAUGCUGUCUUUGUUUGCUUGAGUUCUGAAGUAGUCUUUGAUCACAUCUUCAGGACGGGCGAUAGACUGAAAUUUUGAAGAUUUCGAGGAAUUUUUAGUUUUGAUUUAAGUUGGUCUUCAGUUGAUUAUCUUUGGGGAGUAGUGUGAUAAUUAUUGUUGAGUUCUAGUUCCUCUUCAGGUUGAAGUUUUCCCGGGUUUGAGAAGUGGAGAUAUAUUGCGUUCUUCUGUGGGGCUGAGUUGAUGAUUGUUUGAAAUUGGACAAGCAGCGGCUUCGUGGAUUCUAGGCUGUUGAAACUCUUUAGGGCUACGAAUUAUAAAUCUACAAUUGCGGCAUGAUCCUUUGCCAAUGAUGAUCUGUCAUCCAGAUACUCUAAUUCAUGGUUCUAGUGUAUCUCUUUCUCAUCUGCUCCACAAGGGUUGUUCGGAGUCAUCCUCCUUCUAAUUGGAGAUAUUAAAUGAUGAUCGGUUUCAUUUGCUUUGGUAUUUACUUUGAAGGAAUUAAUUUUGAAGAA